RNAcentral lists this ribosomal RNA (303 nucleotides) under uncultured fungus. RNAcentral's name for it is "eukaryotic LSU rRNA". The record is from RNAcentral. Lineage: Eukaryota; Fungi.
AACGCACCUUGCGCUCCCUGGUAUUCCUAGGAGCAUGCCUGUUUGAGUGUCGUGAACCUAUCAACCCCGUAAGGAUUUUUGAUCUCAACGGUGGCUUGGACUUGGGGGCUUGCUGGCCAGUUACAUUUGGUCGGCUCUCCUUGAAUGCAUUAGCUUAGACUUGUUCUGUGGGCUACUUGGUGUGAUAACUAUCUACGCUUUGUAUUGUCUGUGGAAUAUUUAUGGGUCUAGCUUCUAAUCGUCCUCUGGACAAUCACUAUACGUUUUGACCUCAAAUCAGGUAGGACUACCCGCUGAACUUAA